GAUGAACGCUGGCGGCGUGCCUAAUACAUGCAAGUCGAGCGAACAGACGAGGAGCUUGCUCCUCUGACGUUAGCGGCGGACGGGUGAGUAACACGUGGAUAACCUACCUAUAAGACUGGGAUAACUUCGGGAAACCGGAGCUAAUACCGGAUAAUAUAUUGAACCGCAUGGUUCAAUAGUGAAAGACGGUUUUGCUGUCACUUAUAGAUGGCUCCGCGCCGCAUUAGCUAGUUGGUAAGGUAACGGCUUACCAAGGCAACGAUGCGUAGCCGACCUGAGAGGGUGAUCGGCCACACUGGAACUGAGACACGGUCCAGACUCCUAAGGGAGGCAGCAGUAGGGAAUCUUCCGCAAUGGGCGAAAGCCUGACGGAGCAACGCCGCGUGAGUGAUGAAGGUCUUCGGAUCGUAAAACUCUGUUAUUAGGGAAGAACAAAUGUGUAAGUAACUAUGCACGUCUUGACGGUACCUAAUCAGAAAGCCACGGCUAACUACGUG
RNAcentral lists this ribosomal RNA (497 nucleotides) under uncultured bacterium. Its description in RNAcentral is "partial 16S ribosomal RNA". It matches the Rfam family "Bacterial small subunit ribosomal RNA", at positions 28 to 507 of the family's 1533-position model. The record is from RNAcentral.